GGGAACUACGAGCCAAGCUUAAAACCCAAAGGACUUGACGGUACCCCAUAUCCCCCUAGAGGAGCCUGUCCUAUAAUCGAUAACCCCCGUUUAACCUCACCAUUUCUAGCAACUCAGCCUGUAUACCUCCGUCGUCAGCUUACCACGUGAGCGCUAGUGAGCUCAAUGUUUUUUCAACUAAACGUCAGGUCAAGGUGCAACACAUGAAGUGGGAAAAGAUGGGCUACACUUUCUAAAAUAGAUCACACGGAAGACUAACUAUGAAAUCUGUUCAGAAGGGCGGGAUUUAGAAUUAAAAAGCACCAGAAAGUCCUUUUUAACCGGCCACUGGGGGUGUGUACUCACGGCCCGUCAAA
Molecule: ribosomal RNA, 356 nt
Filed under: Ranitomeya summersi
Lineage: Eukaryota; Metazoa; Chordata; Amphibia; Anura; Dendrobatidae
Description: partial 12S ribosomal RNA
Rfam family: Bacterial small subunit ribosomal RNA
Source: RNAcentral